This 247-nucleotide ribosomal RNA is filed under the name Streptomyces xinghaiensis. RNAcentral describes it as "Bacterial large subunit ribosomal RNA". It matches the Rfam family "Bacterial large subunit ribosomal RNA", at positions 1443 to 1686 of the family's 2925-position model. Lineage: Bacteria; Bacillati; Actinomycetota; Actinomycetes; Kitasatosporales; Streptomycetaceae. The record is from Rfam by way of RNAcentral.
CCCGAGGGGGUAGUAGGUGAGUGAUGGGGUGACGCAGGAAGGUAGUCCAGCCCGGGCGGUGGUUGUCCCGGGGUAAGGGUGUAGCCCGGAGGGUAGGUAAAUCCGUCCUCCAUAACAGGGUGAGACCUGAUGCCGAGCCGAUUGUGGUGAAGUGGAUGAUCCUAUGCUGUCGAGAAAAGCCUCUAGCGAGUUUCAUGGCGGCCCGUACCCUAAACCGACUCAGGUGGUCAGGUAGAGAAUACCGAGG